This 429-nucleotide ribosomal RNA is filed under the name Chloroflexota bacterium. RNAcentral describes it as "Chloroflexi bacterium partial 16S ribosomal RNA". It matches the Rfam family "Bacterial small subunit ribosomal RNA", at positions 355 to 776 of the family's 1533-position model. The record is from RNAcentral. Lineage: Bacteria; Bacillati; Chloroflexota.
UAGGGAAUCUUCGGCAAUGGACGAAAGUCUGACCGAGCAACGCCGUGUGAGUGAAGAAGGUUUUCGGAUCGUAAAACUCUGUUGUUAGAGAAGAACAAGGACGUUAGUAACUGAACGUCCCCUGACGGUAUCUAACCAGAAAGCCACUGCUAACUACGUGCCAUCAGCCGCGUUAAUACGUAGGUUGCAACCGUUGUCCGGAUUUAUUGGGCGUAAAGCGAGCGCAGGAGGUUUCUUAAGUCUGAUGUGGAAGCCCCCGGCUGAACCGGGGGGGGUCAUUGGAAACUGGGGGACUUGAGUGCAGAAGAGGAGAGUGGAAUUCCAAGUGUAGCGGUGAAAUGCGUAGAUAUGUGGAGGAAGACCAGUGGCGAAGGCGGGUCUCUGGUCUGUAACUGAGGAUGAGGAACGAAAGGGUGGGGAGCAAACAGG